Molecule: ribosomal RNA, 253 nt
Filed under: uncultured bacterium
Lineage: Bacteria
Description: partial 16S ribosomal RNA
Rfam family: Bacterial small subunit ribosomal RNA
Source: RNAcentral
UACAGAGGUCUCAAGCGUUGUUCGGAUUCAUUGGGCGUAAAGGGUGCGUAGGCGGCGCGGUAAGGCGGGUGUGAAAUCUCGGAGCUUAACUCCGAAACUGCAUUCGAUACUGCCGUGCUUGAGGACUGGAGAGGAGACUGGAAUUUACGGUGUAGCGGUGAAAUGCGUAGAUAUCGUAAGGAAGACCAGUGGCGAAGGCGGGUCUCUGGACAGUUCCUGACGCUGAGGCACGAAGGUCAGGGGAGCAAACGGG